Molecule: ribosomal RNA, 301 nt
Filed under: uncultured bacterium
Lineage: Bacteria
Description: partial 16S ribosomal RNA
Rfam family: Bacterial small subunit ribosomal RNA
Source: RNAcentral
CAGCAGCCACGGGAAUACGUAGGUGGCAAGCGUUGUCCGGAAUUAUUGGGCGUAAAGGGCUCGCAGGCGGUUUCUUAAGUCUGAUGUGAAAGCCCCCGGCUCAACCCGGGAGGGUCAUUGGAAACUGGGAAACUUGAGUGCAGAAGAGGAGAGUGGAAUUCCACGUGUAGCGGUGAAAUGCGUAGAGAUGUGGAGGAACACCAGUGGCGAAGGCGACUCUCUGGUCUGUAACUGACGCUGAGGAGCGAAAGCGUGGGGAGCGAACAGGAUUAGAUACCCCCGUAGUCCCUGUCUCUUAUAC